CGAAUCUAAGAUCAUCAAAAGCGAUGUAUUUUUAUCUGCAUAAAGGUAUUGAGAUUUGAUCUCAUCUUUAUUUUUAUUUUCAAAUUAUAUGUACGUCUUUAUUCAUGGGCUCGAAUAGGAUUAGAUAUGAUCUAAUACAUAUGAGGGGUUAAAGAGUUUAAUCCGAUUCAUUUUCCACUACUCUUGAAAAGAUUUUGAAAUCUAUGCAUACAUCCUAUCUGAUUUUCUAACACC
RNAcentral lists this long non-coding RNA (234 nucleotides) under Elaeis guineensis (African oil palm). RNAcentral describes it as "long non-coding RNA (EGUI_LNC036582)". Lineage: Eukaryota; Viridiplantae; Streptophyta; Magnoliopsida; Arecales; Arecaceae. The record is from RNAcentral.